This 85-nucleotide transfer RNA is filed under the name Clostridiales bacterium. RNAcentral's name for it is "tRNA-Leu". It matches the Rfam family "tRNA". Rfam says of the family: Transfer RNA (tRNA) molecules are approximately 80 nucleotides in length. Their secondary structure includes four short double-helical elements and three loops (D, anti-codon, and T loops). The record is from RNAcentral. Lineage: Bacteria; Bacillati; Bacillota; Clostridia; Eubacteriales. RNAcentral also lists the same sequence under 2 other names.
GCGGGCGUGGCGGAACUGGCAGACGCGCCAGACUUAGGAUCUGGUGCCUAACGGCAUAAGAGUUCAAAUCUCUUCGUCCGCACCA